Molecule: ribosomal RNA, 254 nt
Filed under: uncultured bacterium
Lineage: Bacteria
Description: partial 16S ribosomal RNA
Rfam family: Bacterial small subunit ribosomal RNA
Source: RNAcentral
UACGUAGGUGGCAAGCGUUUGUCCGGAUUUACUGGGCGUAAAGAGCGCGCAGGCGGUCGUUCAAGUCGCGUGUGAAAGCCCCCGGCUCAACUGGGGAGGGUCACGCGAUACUGAUCGACUCGAAGGCAGGAGAGGGUAGUGGAAUUCCCGGUGUAGUGGUGAAAUGCGUAGAUAUCGGGAGGAACACCAGUGGCGAAGGCGACUACCUGGCCUGUUCUUGACGCUGAGGCGCGAAAGCUAGGGGAGCAAACGGG